UUCUGGAGGGCUAGAUUCCAGCUGCUCAAACAGGAUGCCCAAGAGAAUCCUCUCCUGGGAGGAAUCCAUCAGAGUCCAUUUGGAAACCAGAUAAAGGGGCAGACAGUGAGAUGGACAGCAAGAGACAGACAAGAGACAGGCUGAAAAUGAAUUUCGAAGUGCUGUUGAGUUCAUGAUUGUGGUCAAAUCUUGCUGAGAGACAAGGAAGAAGGGAAAACAAGAAGAGAGAUGAGGAAGA
This is a long non-coding RNA of Fukomys damarensis (Damara mole-rat), 238 nucleotides long. RefSeq lists it as uncharacterized. NCBI's taxonomy places the organism in Eukaryota, Metazoa, Chordata, Mammalia, Rodentia, Bathyergidae. The record is from RefSeq and is a predicted model, not a curated record. The transcript has 3 exons.